Hemicordylus capensis (graceful crag lizard) is the source of this 1125-nucleotide long non-coding RNA. RefSeq lists it as uncharacterized. The transcript has 3 exons. The record is from RefSeq and is a predicted model, not a curated record. NCBI's taxonomy places the organism in Eukaryota, Metazoa, Chordata, Lepidosauria, Squamata, Cordylidae.
GCAAGGCAGCCCCAGAGAUGAGCAAGGCAGCCCUGCAGACAAGGCAUCACAGGCCUCUCUCAUCAAGAUAUGAUAGGCCAUGCUUCAUGAAGGCUGGACAGCCAUCAAUAGCAGGAAGAGAUGUUUAAGGAGCAUCAAAGACAGUGUUCUAAAACAAACUCAGCACUUUGACCUUUCUGUUUAAGUGUCAAAAAGCCACCAAAAACAAAGUCAAGCUACCAAAGUUUUAGAAGCCAGAAUCUGGAACAUUCAGAAGCUCGUUUAUAAAUAAGUGUGUGAAUGUUGUUUAUUUUAUCCGACCUUUAAAGUAGAGUGGGGGGGGGGACCUCAACCCAAACUCCCAACCUCUUUCUGAAGAAAAAACAGAAUUUGAAUAAGAACACAUGCAUUUCUUCAUAACUUUCCGACUAUUAACACAAACUCUAAUCAGAUCUAAUUUAAAGCCUCUUAAUUAUAUUAAAUCAUUUUUGUGUGUGCAUAUGUGCAGUCUUUUACCUGCAAACAGAGUUAUGUGGCUUUGAUUGUGUGUACACACUUGAGCCAUCUAAAUUAAAUGUCAUGCUUAAAAUUAGUCGGCAUCACAGGGGGCUCUCCAUUAAAACCAGAGUUAUCUUUGAAUGUAGCAUUGCUAAAAUAAUUACUUAUCCUCCCUGCAUAUGUUUCACCGCCUAGUUAUACAGCGCAAAUCUGUCGUGAUUUAAUCACUGUCCCUAAAACACUAACAAAGUAAUUGCAAAUAAGCAAAGGAUAAAUAUUUGCUACAUUGGCUGGCUGCUGUUUUGUGCUCCUGUGUUUGUUUUCUAUUUCUUUUUAUUCGCAUAAUUAAAAGGGGGGAGGAAAGGAGAAUCCUGUGAUCUGAAAGCCUUCAGGGAAUAUGAAGCUGUAAUCUCCCCCCCCCCCUUCUUUUUAAUAACUACUGUGCCUAAUUAAAACUUCUGAUUUUUUUGGGGGGGGGGCAAAUAUAUCUAUCUAUCUGGAUAUCUGUUUGGCUCAGAAAUCACAUUAUUCCUCUACUCACAAUCCGAUCACAGUUGGUUGAGUUCUUUAGUCCUUGCCUACUGAAAAGGUUGACAACCACCGUGAUUCUGUACCUUUAAGAUCAUUACUUUCACCCCGCCCUGGCUC